UACGUAGGUGGCAAGCGUUGUCCGGAUUUAUUGGGUUUAAAGGGUGCGUAGGUGGUCUAUUAAGUCAGUGCUGAAAUAUCCCGGCUUAACCGGGAGGGUGGCAUUGAUACUGAUGGACUUGAGUAAAGUUGAGGUGGGCGGAAUUGACGAUGUAGCGGUGAAAUGCUUAGAUAUCGUCAAGAACACCUAUUGCGAAGGCAGCUCGCUAAGCUUUAACUGACACUGAUGCACGAAAGUGUGGGGAUCAAACAGG
Molecule: ribosomal RNA, 253 nt
Filed under: uncultured bacterium
Lineage: Bacteria
Description: partial 16S ribosomal RNA
Rfam family: Bacterial small subunit ribosomal RNA
Source: RNAcentral